Non-coding RNA from Osmia lignaria (orchard mason bee), 982 nucleotides. NCBI's taxonomy places the organism in Eukaryota, Metazoa, Arthropoda, Insecta, Hymenoptera, Megachilidae. The record is from RefSeq and is a predicted model, not a curated record.
GAUCAAGUGAUUGUUAAUAGAAGAAAAAUGAAUAUACAUGCCUGUAUAUUUUCUUGCAUCUUCUGUAUCUCAUCCGUGAAAUUUCUUUCGGAUUGAUCCCGUUGACGAAGCGACAGUGCCAUUCUUCGAUGCAAGACUGUCGACGUCUUUCAAGUUGGACAAUCCCAUUAUCCGUAACCUGCCGUCGGUGAAACUUGGAAAAGCCGGAAAUUCUUCUUUCUCAUCGAACAAUUCUUCCCUGAUGCAUUUGCAGUGUCGUCUUGCACGGUGAUACCGUUCGCUGUCGCCCUCGGACAAGGAUCUCCUUAUAGCGAAGAAUCUCUGGCGUCGAAAGGAAUGCACGAAAUUUGAGGGGAUAAUUUUUUCUUAAAUACACAGUAUAUCAUCGGUAUUCGGUCUCUAUAAAUAUCUCAUUACGCGAUCUAAAAGAAAACGAAAGCAAAAUUUUCUCCGAUGCCUUCCAAUGCUUUAUGUCCAAUUUCCCGAUGGUAUAUAUAUAUAUAUAUUCUGGACGGUUUCUUCGAGCUUUCAGAGAAAAUAUUAUUUUUCCUAUCGGACGGAAUAGAUCGCCAGAUGUAGUCGAAGGCGUGUGGCACGGUAACGAUUCAAGAUAAGAUUAACUUUAGAAGAGGAAACUGUUAAUAUGCAAGCCCGAGCAUCGACUGUCACGGAUCAAAGUAUGUUCAACGAGCAUCAGUGGAAUUGAGAUUUCAUAACUAAUCACUGGACUACCACUUGCACAAAUCAAGAUUAAUCUAAAAGAAGAGGAUUACGGCCUUGGUAUAGAAAAUAUAAAAAUAAAGCUUCCAAUCGAUCCAAUAUUUUGUUUGAAAAAUUCAUUAGUGAUUAAUGCUAUAUUGAAAUUAAAAAAUUGGAUUAAUUAGAGGUAUACAAAUUGCUAUAACAAAACUGUAACACUUUUCUUUUUGAUUUUGAUUCAUUUUAAGGAUAGAUAUGAUGUAUUUGAAGGAUUACCAACUUG